Molecule: long non-coding RNA, 817 nt
Filed under: Lonchura striata (white-rumped munia)
Lineage: Eukaryota; Metazoa; Chordata; Aves; Passeriformes; Estrildidae
Description: domestica (Bengalese finch) lncRNA (ENSLSDG00000001098.1)
Source: RNAcentral
GCCGGGCGCUUCGGCUGCGACCUGGAGGGGCUGCGGGGCAGCAUCGGCGCCUUCGGCACAGGUGGGUCCGGAAUUCCGGGAAAAACACGGGAAAACACGGGAAAAACACGGGAAAUACCCUGGGAAAAACACGGGAAAACCAUGGGAAAUACCCUGGGAAAAACACGGGAAAAUUCCAAGGAAAAACCUGGGAAAUACCCUGGGAAAAACCUGGGAAAUACCCUGGGAAAAACCCUCGGGAAUCUGCCCAGGCUUCAGGCAAGGUGGGUCCGGAAUUCCCAGUGCUCCCAGUCCCAUUCCCAGUGCUCCAGUGCCAUUCCCAGUGCUCCCAGUCCAUUCCCAGUGCUCCCAGUGCCAUUCCCAGUGCUCCCAGUCCAUUCCCAGUGCUCCCAGUGCUCCCAGUCCAUUCCCAGUGCCAUUCCCAGUGCUCCCAGUCCAUUCCCAGUCUCAUUCCCAGUGCUCCCAGUGCCAUUCCCAGUGCUCCCAGUGCCAUUCCCAGUGCUCCCAGUCCAUUCCCAGUCCAUUCCCAGUGCUCCCAGUCCAUUCCCAGUGCUCCCAGUGCUCCCAGUCCAUUCCCAGUCUCAUUCCCAGUGCUCCCAGUGCCAUUCCCAGUGCUCCCAGUCCAUUCCCAGUCCAUUCCCAGUGCUCACAGUGCUCCCAGUGCCAUUCCCAGUGCCAUUCCCAGUGCUCCAGUGCCAUUCCCAGUGCUCCCAGUCCAUUCCCAGUGCUCCCAGUGCUCCCAGUCCCAUUCCCAGUGUUCCCAGUGCCAUUCCCAGUGCUCCCAGUCCCAUUCCCAGUGCUCCCAGUGCCAUUCCCA